RNAcentral lists this ribosomal RNA (383 nucleotides) under uncultured bacterium. Its description in RNAcentral is "bacterial SSU rRNA". It matches the Rfam family "Bacterial small subunit ribosomal RNA", at positions 355 to 754 of the family's 1533-position model. The record is from RNAcentral.
UGGGGAAGUAUUGGACAAUGGGGGCAACCCGUGAUCCAGCGACGCCGCGUGAGUGAAGAAGUAUUUCGGUAUGUAAAGCUCUAUCAGCAGGGAAGAUAAUGACAGUACCUGACUAAGAAGCACCGGCUAACUCCGUGCCAGCAGCCGCGGUAAUACGGAGGAUGCGAGCGUUAUCCGGAUUUAUUGGGUUUAAAGGGUGCGCAGGCGGGCGUCUAAGUCAGCGGUGAAAGUUCCCGGCUCAACCGGGUCAGUGCCGAUGAUACUGGGGGCCUUGAAUGCGGUCGAGGCCGGCGGAAUGUGGCGUGUAGCGGUGAAAUGCAUAGAUAUGCCACAGAACACCGAUAGCGAAGGCAGCUGGCCGGCCUGCAUUGACGCUGAGGCAC